GAUGAACGCUGGCGGCGUGCCUAAUACAUGCAAGUCGAGCGAACAGAUGAUGAUCUUGCUGCUCUCACGUUAGCGGCGGACGGGUGAGUAACAUGUGGAUAACCUACCUAUAAUACUGGGAUAUCUUCGGGAAACCGGAGCUAAUACGGGAGAAUAUAUUGAACCGCAGGGGUGAAUAGAGAAAGACGGCGUUGCUGUCAGUUAUAGAUGGAUCCGCGCCUCUUUGGCUAGUUGGUAGGUUAAAGGCUUACCAAGGAAACGAUGCGUAGCCGACAUGGUAGGGUGAUCGGCGCCACUGGAACGGGGACACGCUCAAGACUACUAGGGGAGGCACCAGAAGGCAACCUUCCGCAAUGGGCGAAAACCUGACGGAGCAACGCCGCGCGAGUGACGACGGUCUUCGGAUCGUAAAAAUCUGUUAUUAGGGAAGAACAAAUGUGUAAGUUAAUAUACACGUCUUGACGGUAACUAAUCAGAAAGCCACGGCUAACUACGUG
This 497-nucleotide ribosomal RNA is filed under the name uncultured bacterium. RNAcentral describes it as "partial 16S ribosomal RNA". It matches the Rfam family "Bacterial small subunit ribosomal RNA", at positions 28 to 507 of the family's 1533-position model. The record is from RNAcentral.